GUUGACCUCGGAACAGGUAGG
Molecule: ribosomal RNA, 21 nt
Filed under: Tolypocladium nubicola
Lineage: Eukaryota; Fungi; Ascomycota; Sordariomycetes; Hypocreales; Ophiocordycipitaceae
Also listed under: 1 other name
Description: partial 28S ribosomal RNA
Source: RNAcentral